RNAcentral lists this small RNA (1337 nucleotides) under Pan troglodytes (chimpanzee). RNAcentral describes it as "retained intron". Lineage: Eukaryota; Metazoa; Chordata; Mammalia; Primates; Hominidae. The record is from RNAcentral.
CUGUGGGUGCAUAUUAUUGUUGAACUGUUUGGAGUAAGUCAAAGAUGUGUCCCCUUUAUUACUAAAUAUUUUGGUGUGUUUCCUAAGAAUGUGGACAUUUUCUUGUAUAACCACAGUAGUUACUAAAAUCAGGACAUUUGAUAUUGAUACAAUAGUAAUGCUACUUUAUAAAUUAGAAAAUAAGUUGAAAAAUAAUUGGGAUAGGGUGUAAUCAGGAUAGGCUAUAUGAUUGGGAUAGGCUAUAUAAAAAAUAAUUGGACAGGCUAUAUAAUUUAAUAAUUGGGAUUAGGCUAUAUAGCAGUGUGCAGUAAAUAUGGAACUAGGCAUUAAUUUUUAUAUAUAAUUUUUUUCUUUUAAGGGAGAAGUCUGUUGGAACUUGGAGGAAACAAUGCCAUUAUUGCCUUUGAAGAUGCAGACCUCAGCUUAGUUGUUCCAUCAGCUCUCUUCGCUGCCGUGGGAACAGCUGGCCAGAGGUGUACCACUGUGAGGCGACUGUUUAUACAUGAAAGCAUCCAUGAUGAGGUUGUAAACAGACUUAAAAAGGCCUAUGCACAGAUCCGAGUUGGGAACCCAUGGGACCCUAAUGUUCUCUAUGGGCCACUCCACACCAAGCAGGCAGUGAGCAUGUUUCUUGGAGCAGUGGAAGAAGCAAAGAAAGAAGGUGGCACAGUGGUCUAUGGGGGCAAGGUUAUGGAUCGCCCUGGAAAUUACGUAGAACCGACAAUUGUGACAGGUCUUGGCCACGAUGCGUCCAUUGCACACACAGAGACUUUUGCUCCGAUUCUCUAUGUCUUUAAAUUCAAGAAUGAAGAAGAGGUCUUUGCAUGGAAUAAUGAAGUAAAACAGGGACUUUCAAGUAGCAUCUUUACCAAAGAUCUGGGCAGAAUCUUUCGCUGGCUUGGGUACAACUUUGUCUAUUUUGAAAAUUUAUAUAAGUCUGAUUUAUGUGACCUAAAGGAUCAGACUGUGGCAUUGUAAAUGUCAACAUUCCAACAAGUGGGGCUGAGAUUGGAGGUGCCUUUGGAGGAGAAAAGCACACUGGUGGUGGCAGGGAGUCUGGCAGUGAUGCCUGGAAACAGUACAUGAGAAGGUCUACUUGUACUAUCAACUACAGUAAAGACCUUCCUCUGGCCCAAGGAAUCAAGUUUCAGUAAAGGUGUUUUAGAUGAACAUCCCUUAAUUUGAGGUGUUCCGGCAGCUGUUUUUGGAGAAGACAAAGAAAAUUAAAGUUUUCCCUGAAUAAAUGCAUUAUUAUGACUGUGACAGUGACUAAUCCCCCUAUGACCCCAAAGCCCUGAUUAAAUCAAGAGACUCCUUUUUUAAAAAUCAAAAUAAAA